RNAcentral lists this long non-coding RNA (4182 nucleotides) under Equus caballus (horse). RNAcentral's name for it is "lncRNA (ENSECAG00000059266.1)". Lineage: Eukaryota; Metazoa; Chordata; Mammalia; Perissodactyla; Equidae. The record is from RNAcentral.
CAAAUUCAUCCUAGUUAUAUUCCUGUCUACUAGAUCCAGAUUAUCUGUAGACAUGGUUUACUUUUUUAUGAUUAUCUAUUUUCUUUGACAAGAAUUUUCAAAAUUCCAUUUGAAAAGUUGAGUUCCAUACGUUGCAUAUGUGGAGGCUUCAUGUGAUGUUACAUCACAAUAGGGAGCUUCACCCUUUCAUUUUCCAAGCAGACAGAGGAGGGGCCUGGCCACCUCACCCUAAUAGGGGAUUAAGUGGCGUUACGGCUGGGUUGCUAUUUUGGUAAUAGUUAAUCUAGAUCUCUCUGUCCCAGUUUCCAGGGUGUAGCCCUCCUGGACCUUCAGUUUGCAGCAUAUUAUGAUUACCAGGCUUCUCCUCAGUGAUUAUUUUGCUCAUGAAGAGCAAAGACUGCGUCACUUAAGCUCAGUAUUGCAGAGGCUGUGGUUAAGGCUCUGAGACACCUGCCUUGCUCACAUUCAUAAUUCAGUAAAUGUCUUGUGGGGAAAACUGGCUUUUUGAUGCCUUCAUAUCUUCAGUUUUUCACUCUACUAGCAUCCCUUUGCUUUGCCAAAACCUGGAUUUUUAUCCACUAGCUACAUUCAAGAUUGGCUGAGGCCCCAGGAAUAAUAUUGUAGAAUGUCAAUAUACUGCUUCUGCAGAAUAAUUCUUGCUGCAUAAUAAAUUACCACAAACAGCAGCUUCAUGUACAUACAUUUGUUACAUAUUAUGUAUGUAUUUAAUAUGUAUGUUAACAUAACAUACGUUUAUUGUCUCAGUUUCUAUGGGUGAGGAGUUUGGGUCCAGCUUAACGUGGUCGUGUGCUCAGGUUCCACAAGGUUAUAGUCUCGAUACAUCGUGUUCUUGAGCUCAGGGUCAUCUUGCAAACUGAGCUAGGUGUUGGGAAAAUUCAGUUCCCAGUUGUUCGGAAAAAGUAGCAGUACCCAGUGGCAAACAGGUUCCCCCUGCAGCUUCUUUGGUUGGUUUUGUAAAUGCCUCCAGCAAGUCAUUUCCCCAAGAACAGGUUUUUCGACUGCUGACGGCAGAUUUCCGACAAGUCCCCCAGGGAGCAUGGCAGUGACUUCUCUGCCAUUCAGGGCCCACAGUCGUGCCCUCUCCAGCCAGUUGUGGAGCUCCAUUGUGGCUGUGGGGCCUUUUUUCAGGCACAAUAUCAUAGCUAUAGGAGUAGUGGCUGACCCUUCUCUCUGCUGUUCUCUUAUUCUCUGGAGUUAUCUGUAAUCCCUAAUAGCCAAUCCUCAUUACUGCAGCGUGCUGUUAUAGUUAGUGAUUCUUUCUAUUAAACUUCCCCUGUUCAAAUUAUUAUGUGGUUUCUAUCUCCUGUUUGGACUCUGACUCAUACAUUCGGUGUUGUUUUUAAUGGCUAUUCUUCUGCCACCACUGAUUAUUGGUACCUAAUCUAUAAUAGUUGUUCCACUACUGAUUAUUGGUACCUAAUCUAUAAUAGUUGUUCCACUACUGAUUAUUGGUACCUAAUCUAAAAUAGUUGUUCCACUACUGAUUAUUGGUACAUAAUCUAUAAUAGUUGUUCCUUGUUAUGAAGAAAGAGUUAAAGCAAAUUGACAAUUAACAUAAUACAUAUUAAAGAGCAAUGUAAGCUACUUGAGCUCACAAAAACGAAGUGAGAAUUAGAGACGGAAUCUUAGAGAAAGGGAGUGAUUUUUUUUUUUAAUCAUAAAACUAAGUACAAAAGAAGGCAAGACAAUUCAGAAGGGAAAAUAACGAUGCAAGAUAAAGUUAAAUCAAGAGAACAUGAGUAGAAUAGAACUAAAUUCCUAUUGUCAGCAUAUUGGGUCAGAUAAGCUAAAUUAAACAAACAAAUAAGCAAAGAAAACCCAAACUCUCCAAAUGAAGCAUGUAACAUACUGGACAGAUAAACAUCGUUUUGAAAAAAUCCGUGUAAGGCCAAAAUGUAAGGAAACCAACAGGCCCAAGUGAAACAAACCAGGCAAAGUUGGGGGCCAAGAUCUUCUUCAACCCCAAGGGGUUCUGCCAUGUCCCAUUUAACUUGAGCUGAGGUGAAUAUACAGUUUUAAGGGUGUGAUACAAAGGCAAGAUUUACACAGUUGUCAGUCUCCAGUAAAACUAACAUGCACAUAGUUAGGACCCAGCAAUUCUAUACCUAGAUAUUUACCCUUCAGAAUCUUUUGGACGUUUGCACUGGGAGACUCGUACAAAAAUAUUCAUGGCAGCAAAUUCAUAAAGGUCAAAAAGAUUGUGGUAUAUUCAUGCAAAGAAGCACUAUUCAGCCAUGAACAAUGUAUUCGAGCUCUAUACAGCUACAUCAAUAAAUCUAAUAAAUAUAUUUUUGUCUUAUUUGAGAAAAGGGACAGAAGGUUGGAAACAACUGCAUAAUAUAAAAGUAAAGGCAUGCUAUCGCAGCAGACCUCUUGUUUUGGUCAGCAACUUGAGCUGUUAUUCUAAAUCAGUUUGAUGUAAGACUCUAGGGAUGCUGAUCUGAGCUUCUAUUCUCAUUAACUUGGGUUUAUCCUGUAUGGGGGUCGGGUGGAGAAUAAGUAAAUAUAUUGGGCCCUUGAUUCACAUAAUAAGAGCUAGCCACUUAAAAUGUGAGUUUAAAGAUGUAUUCCUAAUUGUAGGAUUUGUCAGUGUGGCUUGAGCUCUUAAGGGAAGAGUAAAAAGAGAAGAAGAAGAAGAAAGCUACUGAUAACAUGGCACUAAAACAAUUUUUAUUUUAUUGAAGAAUACUACUUUGACUUGUAGAAUUCUAAGAUAUUGCAAUCGUUUUCACUCUUUGAAAUACUUGAGACUAUUUAAAUAUUGUUAUGUGAUGUAACAGUCAACAAGCCCUCUUUUAAAAGUGACAUUUGAAAACACAUUCUUACCAUUGUCCUUCAAAUCAUUUGAAUAUAUCACUAUGUGUUCACUAAAAGGUUCUAUGAUUAAAAUGGUGGGUGUAUUAAGUGUGUGUGUAUGUGUGCAUGCGUGUAUUUUGGAGGAGAAUAAAAAAGUAAGAAAAACAAAAACACUAAAAUAAUAGCUGAAGUGUCUAAAAAUAAGACUUGUAAAGUGUGGCGAAUGUAAUGGACAAACAAUUUGAGGAAUUUCACCUUGAACUAAUAGAUUAGGUUUUACUUAAAAGGGACAGAUUUAAUUUUAUUUUCACAGAUUGUUCAUUGGCAAAAGAAAAAUAUCAGAAUAUAAGGGGGCCAGCCCGGUGGGGCAGCAGUUAAGUUCGUGCCCUGCCUUGGUGGUCCAGGGCUCGCCAGUUUGGAUCCUGGGCGCAGAUCUAGCACCACUUAUCAAGCCAUGUUGUGGCAGGCAUCCCACACAUAAAAUAGAGGAAAACAGAAACAGAUUUUAUCUCAAGGCCAGUCUUCCUCAGCAAAAAGAGGAGGAUUGGUGGCUGAUGUUAGCUCAAUGCUAAUCUUCCUCAAAAACAAAAAAAAGCAUAUAAGUAUGAUCACAAUUAAAAUUUUAUAGCUUGUCUGUUGACUUUGGAGCUUAGAUUGUUGGGCUGAUAACCUCAAAAUAUUUUACUGUUUUCUGUUUCGUAAUAGUUAAAAUUGCUCAGGAUUUUUUCAAACUAAUCAUUUCAUUUGAUCGUCAUAAGAACCAUGUAUUAGGUGAGGAUUAUUACAUAGUUUUAUUGAUGAGACCAGAAAGAUAUAGACUCAGAAAAAUAUAUCUUGCCCAAGACCAGAUUUUAGUCCUGCAUCACUUGGUUUAAAAGUUAGAAUAGCAUGAUAAUUUCUUCAAGACGAACAUGGAAACAGUGUUUUUCAGGUAGAAUUAGAGGAGAAACACUGGAGAAGAGAGACCACUUGGAAUGCUGUUUAAAGAAUUCUACAUGCAGGGAGCCAAGCCCUGAACUUAAACAGGGGCUGUGGAAAUGGAUCCUGCUUCCAGCUUCUUCACUGAGUCCUUGGUCCUUUCAGACGUUUUCUGUGAGAACUAGUUUGAUUGAGAGUCUUUACAAUCCUUUUAAAGGUCUCUCUGGUGUUUUUUACAAUGAGCUGAAUGCUUUUGGAUAAUCUCUCUGAUUUAUCUAAGCUUAGUAAAAUGUUCAAUAAAAGUGGACUAUUUGAAUUCAGUGAAAGAGCACAGACUGCUGUUAGAUUUCUGGAAUGUUUUCUAAUUUCUACAUACAAAAGGAUAACAAAUUAAACAUUCAAGGAAAAGAAUAUGCUCUCUGGGUUUCAUCCCUAUUUAAAACCCUG